GGAAGCGUGGCAGAGCGGCCGAAUGCACUCGCCUUGAAAGCGAGAGUCCCGAAAGGGUCCGGGGGUUCGAAUCCCUCCGCUUCCG
Molecule: transfer RNA, 85 nt
Filed under: Pseudonocardia sp. N23
Lineage: Bacteria; Bacillati; Actinomycetota; Actinomycetes; Pseudonocardiales; Pseudonocardiaceae
Also listed under: 1 other name
Description: tRNA-Ser
Rfam family: tRNA
About the family: Transfer RNA (tRNA) molecules are approximately 80 nucleotides in length. Their secondary structure includes four short double-helical elements and three loops (D, anti-codon, and T loops). Further hydrogen bonds mediate the characteristic L-shaped molecular structure. tRNAs have two regions of fundamental functional importance: the anti-codon, which is responsible for specific mRNA codon recognition, and the 3' end, to which the tRNAs corresponding amino acid is attached (by aminoacyl-tRNA synthetases). tRNAs cope with the degeneracy of the genetic code in two manners: having more than one tRNA (with a specific anti-codon) for a particular amino acid; and 'wobble' base-pairing, i.e. permitting non-standard base-pairing at the 3rd anti-codon position.
Source: RNAcentral